AGUGAACGCUGGCGGUAGGCCUAACACAUGCCAGUCGAACGGCAGCACAGUAAAAGCUUGCUCUUACGGGAGGCGAGUGGCGGACGGGUGAGGUAUACAGCGGACUGUACUUUUUCGGGGGGGAUCACGUGGGGAAACUUACGAUAAUACCGCAUACUACCUACGGGUGAAAGCAGGGGAUCUUCGGACCUUGCGCGCUGGAAUGCGCCGAUGUGGGAUUAGCUAGUUGGUGGGGUAACGGCCCACCAAGGCGACGAUCCGUAGCUGGUCUGAGAGGAUGAUCAGCCACACUGGAACUGAGACACGGUCCAGACUCCUACGGGAGGCAGCAGUGGGGAAUAUUGGACAAUGGGCGCAAGCCUGAUGCAGCCAUGCCGCGUGGAUGAAGAAGGCCUUCGGGUUGUAAAGUCCUUUCGUCGGGGAGGAAGGGAGGCAAGUUAAUACCCCGCCUCAUUGACGGUACCCGAAGAAUAAGCACCGGCUAACUCCGUG
RNAcentral lists this ribosomal RNA (492 nucleotides) under uncultured bacterium. Its description in RNAcentral is "partial 16S ribosomal RNA". It matches the Rfam family "Bacterial small subunit ribosomal RNA", at positions 29 to 507 of the family's 1533-position model. The record is from RNAcentral.